RNAcentral lists this long non-coding RNA (501 nucleotides) under Mus spicilegus (steppe mouse). RNAcentral describes it as "lncRNA (ENSMSIG00000020248.1)". The record is from RNAcentral. Lineage: Eukaryota; Metazoa; Chordata; Mammalia; Rodentia; Muridae.
AUCAAAGAUUCAGGCUUAGACUCAGACUUGGGGAUUGAACUUUGAAGUGGAUUCCAUCUGAGUCGCAAACAAUUUCUGCUAGGUGGUUGAGAACUUUUGGUGGUAUCUGGAGAGGUAGCGUCCUCGAAGAGGAGGAGAACUUAAAAGCAGGAAGCGGAGAAAAAUCAGAUGCAGAUCAGAUUAUCCUGUGUUGGUGGCAGCAGAGAAGAGUAUUAAUGACAAGUAGUGAAUUGGAGCACACUGUAAAGUAAAUACACAGAUCUCAUCCAGGCAGCAGGUUGGAUGGUCGCUGUCCCAGGCCCUGGAAGGGCCUUGUUUCUGCUUCAGGUUCGUGGUGAAGGAAGAGAACUUCGGAACUGUGAUGCAGGGGCGAGAAACAUCGGGAAGGCAAUUUUCUCUCGAAUAGAAAGACAAACACAGUCGUGAUGAAGACUUGUUUAAAAAUGGGGCAUGGUAUUUGGGGAGUUGUUCCUGUAGAAGGGAGGACUGGAACUUCCGUGU